GUGCAGACUCAAUCAUUAACUCUGAAAAAUGUUUGAGAAGUGAGAGGAACCAGGGUUAUUGAAGUAAUUGUAGUGACAGAAAUGUAUUAGCCUCAGGAGCUACUGAGGUGUCCAUUCUAGCCUAGUACAGAA
This is a small nucleolar RNA of Artibeus jamaicensis (Jamaican fruit-eating bat), 132 nucleotides long. The record is from RefSeq and is a predicted model, not a curated record. Lineage: Eukaryota; Metazoa; Chordata; Mammalia; Chiroptera; Phyllostomidae.